UAGGGAAUCUUCGGCAAUGGACGAAAGUCUGACCGAGCAACGCCGCGUGAGUGAAGAAGGUCUUCGGAUCGUAAAACUCUGUUGUUAGAGAAGAACAAGGACGUAAGUAACUGAACGUCCCCUGACGGUAUCUAACCAGAAAGCCACGGCUAACUACGUGCCAGCAGCCGCGGUAAUACGUAGGUGGCCAGCGUUGUCCGGAUUUAUUGGGCGUAAAGCGAGCGCAGGCGGUUUCUUUAGUCUGAUGUGAAAGUCCCCGGCUCAACCGGGGAGAGUCAUUGGAAACUGGGAUACUUGAGUGAAGAAGAGGAGAGAAGAAUUCCUUGUGUAGCGGUGAAAUGCGUAGAUAUAAGGAGGAACACCAGUUGCGAAGGCGGCUCUCUGGUCUAUAACUGACGCUGAGGCUCGAAAGCGUGGGGAGCAAACAGG
RNAcentral lists this ribosomal RNA (429 nucleotides) under Gemmatimonadota bacterium. Its description in RNAcentral is "Gemmatimonadetes bacterium partial 16S ribosomal RNA". It matches the Rfam family "Bacterial small subunit ribosomal RNA", at positions 355 to 776 of the family's 1533-position model. The record is from RNAcentral. Lineage: Bacteria; Pseudomonadati; Gemmatimonadota.